RNAcentral lists this ribosomal RNA (1150 nucleotides) under uncultured Actinomyces sp. RNAcentral describes it as "bacterial SSU rRNA". The stretch from base 1 to 844 matches the Rfam family "Bacterial small subunit ribosomal RNA". The record is from RNAcentral. Lineage: Bacteria; Bacillati; Actinomycetota; Actinomycetes; Actinomycetales; Actinomycetaceae.
AUGAACGCUGACAGAAUGCUUAACACAUGCAAGUCAACUUGAAUUUGGGUUUUUAACUUAAGUUUGGGUGGCGGACGGGUGAGUAACGCGUAAAGAACUUGCCUCACAGCUAGGGACAACAUUUGGAAACGAAUGCUAAUACCUAAUAUUAUGAUAAUAGGGCAUCCUAUAAUUAUGAAAGCUAUAAGCGCUGUGAGAGAGCUUUGCGUCCCAUUAGCUAGUUGGAGAGGUAACGGCUCACCAAGGCGAUGAUGGGUAGCCGACCUGAGAGGGUGAUCGGCCACAAGGGGACUGAGACACGGCCCUUACUCCUACGGGAGGCAGCAGUGGGGAAUAUUGGACAAUGGACCAAGAGUCUGAUCCAGCAAUUCUGUGUGCACGAUGAAGUUUUUCGGAAUGUAAAGUGCUUUCAGUUGGGAAGAAAGAAAUGACGGUACCAACAGAAUAAGUGACGGCUAAAUACGUGCCAGCAGCCGCGGUAAUACGUAUGUCACGAGCGUUAUCCGGAUUUAUUGGGCGUAUAGCGCGUCUAGGUGGUUAUGUAAGUCUGAUGUUGAAUAUGCAGGGCUCAACUCUGUAUUGCGUUGGAAACUGUAUAACUAGAGUACUGGAUAGGUAAGCGUAACUACUUGUGUAUAGGUGAUAUUCGUAAAUUUUGUAUGAAUGCCCUGUGGGGAAGCCAGCUUUCUGUAUAAUAUACUGAUGCUUGAAGCCCUAAAGCGUGUUAUCAAACAGGAUUAAAUACCCUGUGAUUGCAAGUGCGAUUUCUACAUUGUAUUCACGGUUGUGUGAUCUGUUAACUCUACGGUGUGUCCUAAGAAAUCUAUUUUUGUUCUCUUUUUUUUGUGUUGAAUAAUUUUUUUUUCUUGAUUGUUGUUUUGUUGUGUGUUCAGUGUUUCCAUUAUUCUGACUCUGUUGCUUCCUUCCUGUCUUCCUUCUUCUUUUUUUAUUCUUGUACCUGUCUCUUUGUCUUUUGUCUCCUGUGCUAUUGUUUGAUAUUUUACUGCUAUUGUGUUCUAUGUUUGCAUGUCUAUGUGCUGUUCCCCUGCAUGUAUUCUUCUGUUUCUGUUUUUCUGUGUAUAACUAUAUCUCAUGCUGUCUUCUGUACCUUCCUGCUCUACUCAUGUCUGUUGCUUCUCUUCUUGCUAGU